UACGAUUCCUUCAGGAGCUGCCUUCAUCCAGAAGAGUUUGUGGAAGAACGGGAGCUCUGGUUUUGUCUGAAAGGCCUGGGGCUGGCGUGAUAGUGACACAAAUACAGUACACGUUCAUCCUAUAGAUUAUAUUUCCUCGUGUUAAACCAGUGACCUGAUUUUCAGUGCCUAGCUUGCUGUUGAGCUUGCAGUGCUCAGAAAGAAAAGAAGAUGGAGCAGAACAAAGCAUGAGUGGAGCUUUGGAGCUGUGAAGUCUCGGAUGUUCCAGUCAUGGAGGUCCUUGAGAUUUAAACAACACUGCAUGCCCAUUUAAGAAACAAAAGGACAAAAAUAUUGUUUAAUUAAAAAUGUGACUCUGGAAAUGUAGGACUAAUGAGAAUCAUUCUGAACUGCACAUUUUACAUAGAUGGCUAUGAAAAAGGUCCACUAUAGCAACCAGAGUAAUGCAUCAUUCAGUUCUCCUAUGAUGGUACCAGACCUUAACCAAAGGUGAGAUCCGAAUGACACGAAAUUACGUGCACAGCAAGGCAGAAAAAGAUCAUCUCUUCCCCCACAGGCUUCCUGACCCAGGCCCAGAUUUGUCAGCACUCACACUGUAAACCUCCCGAGAUGAACAUGCAUCACAUAAUGUUACUGCGGGGCAACUCUGUCUUCCUCUACAGCCUCUGCAGGCCUGGUAGGCAAAGCUGUCCAGCUGAUUUCCAGGUAUGCUGCUGGGCAGAUGAGUGUACCAGCAGAAAGGAGAAUCAGGCAGACCUUACUGCUUGUAUGGCAGGUUGGUUCCUGGUCAUCAGAGGGCUUCUGACUCCAUGUGAAUCUUUGGCAAACAGUCCCAAGGAGAACAUGUUUCCCAGCCUGACCUGCACACAUGCAUCACGUCUAUGUAACUGGAAAGGAGAUUUGGGGCACAGGUCUGGCAGAAAGCACUGCCAAAAGUGCAAAAUAAACAUGCCUCCCACAAUGGGGAGAGGUAAAUUUACUCUCUGAUGUCUUUCAGGACAAGUAAUCUCAACUGGUCCAGUAAUUGCAAUUGUUAUAAAUAACACUGCAAAUGCUCUCCAGCAGAAGCAUUAUCUUUCAGUUUAUAGGCUCCCUUUAAGCACCAAGAUGCUAUUGUGCAGAGUUUUUGCUAUAGCCAAACGGACCUAGAUUGAAACAAAUAGCCCCAUUUUGCUUGUCACUUACUUAAGCUUGAUUUGAACCCAUGUUUGUAAAGCUGAAAGGCUUUUCUAAUCCAUCGUUACCAUGCCUCCCGCAUCGGGCCCACCUGUGGGAAUUUCACAUUCCUACAUUUAA
Molecule: long non-coding RNA, 1296 nt
Organism: Melopsittacus undulatus (budgerigar)
Lineage: Eukaryota; Metazoa; Chordata; Aves; Psittaciformes; Psittaculidae
Exons: 3
Source: RefSeq, a predicted model, not a curated record